This 397-nucleotide long non-coding RNA is filed under the name Gallus gallus (chicken). Lineage: Eukaryota; Metazoa; Chordata; Aves; Galliformes; Phasianidae. The record is from RNAcentral.
GUUUUUCAUGACACGGAGAACCUGAACAUCUUGGCUCAAGAAGCAGGGAGGCAGGAGGCCAUGAAUUCCCAGCUGCAGCCUCUCUUUAAGUGUGAAAGCCAUUCCCUUGUUGAGGUGGGGGUUCCUGGUGAUGUCGUAGCCUCGCUUUUUGACGGCCAAGGCCUCGCGGCGGACAGCCGGGUUCCCUCCAGCCGGGCUGCCGCUGCUCCGGGCGGCGCUGAGCAGCAGCAGCCUCCGGCCGGCCCCGGCUCCGGCCACCCGCAGCAGCCGCCCCGCCGCCCCACCGCACAGCGGCCCCAUGGCUCGGACCUGCGGACGGGGACACAGCGUCAGCGGACACGGGGAGUGAGCGAGGGCGCGGCCACAGGGCGGGCCCCACGCCCGGCCCGGCCCAGCC